UUCGGUGGCCAUAGCGAGAGGGAAACACCUCUUCCCAUUCCGAACAGAGCAGUUAAGCCUCUCCGCGCCGAUGGUACUUGACCUGAAAGGGUCUGGGAGAGUAGGUCGCCGCCGAUU
Molecule: ribosomal RNA, 117 nt
Filed under: Thermoleophilaceae bacterium
Lineage: Bacteria; Bacillati; Actinomycetota; Thermoleophilia; Thermoleophilales; Thermoleophilaceae
Source: RNAcentral